UGUGACGGUGAUUUACAUGUGGCUUUUCUCCAUGUUGGCUGAGAUCGAUGCAGCCCAUCCAGCUGGCUAGGCAGGCAACUCCUUCCUUUUUCACCUGAAGCUUUGUGCCUGGUCAAAGAGGUCAGUGUCUCCUUCUCAGAUAGACAAGGACCAUCCUUCUGAUUUGGGUAUGUAGGAAAUUGUGCUCCUCUACUUAUCCUUCCAAAUGAUCCCUCAAGGUCCAAGAAGAAACCUAAGGUGUUUGUGAAGGGUAGAUGACAUCACAGAUACAAAACACUUUGUAAACCCUAAGGGUUUCUUCCAUUUGGUU
Molecule: unclassified non-coding RNA, 310 nt
Organism: Mustela putorius furo (domestic ferret)
Lineage: Eukaryota; Metazoa; Chordata; Mammalia; Carnivora; Mustelidae
Gene: 7SK
Rfam family: 7SK RNA
About the family: 7SK was discovered as an abundant small nuclear RNA in the mid-70s but a possible function has only recently been suggested. Two independent studies have found that 7SK RNA binds the CDK9/cyclin T complex (known as elongation factor P-TEFb).
Source: Ensembl